Long non-coding RNA from Parasteatoda tepidariorum (common house spider), 504 nucleotides. RefSeq lists it as uncharacterized. The record is from RefSeq and is a predicted model, not a curated record. NCBI's taxonomy places the organism in Eukaryota, Metazoa, Arthropoda, Arachnida, Araneae, Theridiidae.
AAUAAAUAGAUAAUUUAUUUUGAUAAAUAAAAUUCGAUAAUAGUAUUGAUAUAAAAGCUAGUAGCUAUUGUUUAAGUUUAUAAAACCUAUCCUUCUAAAAUACACAAGUUCUAGUUUACUCAAGCUCUUGCGAAAAAGAAUUAUCAAAUUCGAUUUAUAUGAUGAAGAAAGCUCUAUUUUUCUUAUUGGUGCUUACCGUGUUUGUGGCGACGUCUGAAGCAGGAUUGUGCAACUGGGUUUGCAGAAAGAUCUGCGACACCAAAGAUUACUGCAAAACACUUUGCACAUUCCUCUGCACUGAUCCCGAUGGAGUUAAAGCCUACAAGUUCCCUGACACAUAUCCUGAAAAAUAUAAAGAUCCACUAGAUGCAUAGAAAAAGGUCAUAAUAUAAUGGACCGAUGAGAAGAUGCGUUAAAUUUCUGAAGCUGCCAAAAAUUCAUUUUAAUGUAAUUAAAUUGAUCAAAUUUUGUAAAAAAAAAAUGAAUAAAUGAAUACACUUAAUA